RNAcentral lists this long non-coding RNA (9477 nucleotides) under Xyrichtys novacula (pearly razorfish). The record is from RNAcentral. Lineage: Eukaryota; Metazoa; Chordata; Actinopteri; Labriformes; Labridae.
CAAUGGGCGCGUAUCUGUCAAAUGUACGGUUAAAGGGUUAUUCCGCAUUUUUUGCCGAUUCGCACACAUUGGAAUUUCGCUAACUCCUCCGAAGGCUUUCGUUCCACCGGCACCACAUUUGCUCAGGCCAAAUUACACCCCAUGGCCAUUAAAAGUUAUUCAAAUCAUGACGCUGCACCCCACGGUUUACGUUCUAGGGGGCGCCAAAGAUAACCCAAAAAUCCAAAUUUUUAAAAGUCUUAUAACUUUUUAUUUUUGUCCUCACUGGCCUCCAAGUUUUCUAGGAUGAUGCAAUGUCCAGCCAUCAACACAUUUGUGAAGGAAUUUUUACUCCCUAAAAGAGCGCCCCCCCAUGGCAGGAGAAAAAAGUCCAUUUUUUCUUGUCCCCUAAGGUGAAAAUACACAUUGUUGACUGUCACGCCUGUACGCUUUGGCAAAAUGACACAAAAAUUGACAAUCAUGUGUAUCUCAAUUAGAUCUACGAAAAAGUCAACAGCGCGUAUCUGUAUAAUGUACGGUAAAAGGGCUAUUUUGCAUUUUUUGCCGAUUCGCACAUAUUGGAAUUUCGCUAACUCCUCCUAAGGCUUUCGUCCCACUGACACCAAAUUUGCUCAGGCCAAUCUACACUCCAUGGCCAUUCAAAGUUGUAAAAAUCAUGACGCGGCACCCCACGGUUUACGUUUUAGGGGGCGCCAAAGAUGACCCAAAUAUACAUUACAGUAGACAAAGUAGUUUUGCCCACUUAGUGGCGCCAAAGGGACUUGUCUGUGGAGUCUGUGAGUCACUAUUGGCCGUUUUUGACUACUUUAGAUUUUACCUUUAUAUUUCCUCUUACAAAAUUUUUACCUUGCCUUGCCUGGUAUAAUUUUUUUCAGCACAACCUCACCUGUGUCAAUUUACAGUUAUUUUAUCAUUUUGACAUACUAUAUUUACACAUUGGACCCAAAUUCACACACAAAACAUAAAAUCCGAGUGGAAAAAAGUAACGUUUUUACUGUGAAAACCACAAAUAUGUGUGAUGAACUGUUUUUAAAACUUAAACUUCAAAUAAAAAUUGUAAACUUCAAAACAUAUGCAAAUUUUUAACAAAGAACAUAGUAAUUUACCUCUAUUUACAUCAAAAUGCAGGCAAUGGCCCAGGCGUUCUUUGUAAAAUUAUUUACAAAACACUGUAUAGUCUCACAAAUGUCACUUUUUAUUUAUGCCACUACAAAAAAACAUGAUGUAAAUGAUGCAUGAUGUAAAACAUGAUGUAAAAAACUUGUGUAGAUCCUCCUCUAUGUCAGUCCAUGUGUAAUUUUUCCAUAAUUCUUUGUUUUUUGCAGCAUUUUUGUUAGUGUAACUGCAGAUUGUGCUGACAGUGUCUAUGGCAAAAAAAAAAAAAAAAACUGAAAAUGCCUCAACAUGAACCCCUGGUGGUCUCUGAGGGUGAAACCUGCUAACUGCUGCAGCUCUGUCAGCUUCAGUCUCCCAUGCAGAGCUCGGAGCGCAUGUGUGGCUCUGCACCCUUAGCAGCAUUGCUAACUCCUCAGUAAGGAAAGCCUGCUUCAUGUCAGAGUCUCUAAACUCCAGAAGAAGUCGAUAAAAGUCACUUUCUUUCUAAAAAAACGUCGUUAGGGGGUCUGAAAAGUCAUUGAAUCUAACAACAAAGUCGCUAGGUUUGCAACUACGUGUCCCAGACUGCAUCCCUGCUGAGAGUCCCUCCCUCCCUUCUCAUAUUGCAGGAAGAACGUAAGCGCCCGCCCCUUGUCAAUCAGUCACCAUAUAAUUUUGGAUUGGUUGUUGUGGUGAAGUUUUCCACCAAUAGGAGAGAUGUUGUGGUGUGUUUUUUUUUUCCUUUGGCAAGCCUUUUCCGCCUGUAAGACCUGUCGCUAAUGUCUGCAUGCUAUGUUUUCCUGUCUCAUACAGCGCGAUCGAGCGCCGAACGUGAUCAAAAUAAGCAGAAAACAAGUAUCGCGGACAUAAUUUAUCAUAACUCUGGUUUUAUUUGGCCUAUCAACACAAUUUAAAAACUGGUAUAUAGGUUGAGGUCCUCACUUUUGAGAUAAGUUGAAACGGAGAGUCAACGAGGCUCCGUCUUGCAGCUACAUCCGGUUAAAUAUGUCAUGUGACUUGAACACACACACACACACACACACAGACACACACACACACACACACACACACACACACACACACACACACACACACACACACACAACCACACUCAGAGUCUGGUUUUUAGCACCUGCAAAAACAUGCUAUUUACAUAUUUGACAAGAAUGCAGAGGCUCCUUUUGCCCCUGAAAAAAAUCAAAUUUCAAACACAACUUGACUGGUCAUUUCUCCAAAAGACAACCAUGAAGCUCCAUCCAAACCUGAAGCAGGCAGUUGGUGCAUGUGUACAGUAACCUGAGGGGAGUGAGGUGACUGCUUCUGAGGAGAACAUGAGCAGUGAAGAUUCACCUUAGAGCUAGAACAGAGACGUGCACAUGAUUAUACAGGGGCAGGGGCUCAAGUUUUUUCCAGUUGUUUAUACAAUAUGGAAAUUAAUGUGAAAUUAAAAAACAAAGUAUUAAUAGAAAGGUAAUGACUGUCCUGUGUAGGUGACAGUGAUAUCCAAUAGGCUAGGCACUCACGAGGCUGGCUGUGGCAAGUGUAAGUGAAAGCAACACGCACUGGCAGGAAGAACAGCAAACGCCGAUGAAGGAAAAGGGUCUUUGCAGUGAUGGGCGUUACCAGAGAGGGCGAUGGCCAGAGGACACAAAUGGGACGGGGAGGCAGCGCGUUGGGGGGGGGACGCGACACAGCUCGGGCCCGCCAGUGCCCCAACGGGGUCCUAGUUAGGGCCCGAGCGUAGCUGCUAAGCAGCUGCGAGAGCCCUCUUGUUCCUGUAGUUUCCUUCUUUUGUUAUUAUUAGGGCCCGAGCCAGCUGCAGAGCAGCCGGGCGUAGGCCCUAUUAUUCCCCAAGUGGUUUUUCUUUGUUUCUUUCUUUCUUUCUUUCUUCUUUUUCCUCCCCUUUGAACUGGAAAAUGGCCCACUUCCCACUGGCGAAAACUCAUGAAAUUUGGCAGGACGACCGGGCCUGGUGAAAAAUUCGAUAUUCUGAAGUCACCCAAACAAUAAAAUGCAAAAUGGCUCCAUAGCGCCCCCUAAGGUGGAAAUUCACACUAUUGACUGUCACGCCUGUACGCUUUGUCAUAUUGAACCAAAAAUUGACACACAUAUGUAUCUCAAUAAGAUCUACAAAAAAGUCAGUGCGGACGUAUCUGUCAAAAUUACGGUUAAAGGGUUAUUUCGCAUUUUUUGCCGAUCCGCACACAUUGGAAUUUCGCUAACUCCUCCGAAGGCUUUCGUUCCACCGGCACCACAUUUGCUCAGGCCAAUCUACACCCCGUGGCCAUUAAAAGUUAUCAAAAUCAUGACGCUGCACCCCAAGGUUUAGGUUCUAGGGGGCGCCAAAGAUAACACUAAAAUCCACAUUCUUAAAAGUCUUAUAACUUUUUAUUUUUGUCCUCACUGGCCUCCAAGUUUUCUAGGAUGAUGCAAUGUCCAGCCAUCAACACAUUUGUGAAGGCAUUUUUACUCCCCAAAAGAGCGCCCCCCCAUGGCAGGAGAAAAAAGUCCAUUUUUUCUUGUCCCCUAAGGUGAAAAUACACAUUGUUGACUGUCACGCCUGUACGCUUUGUCAAAAUGACACAAAAAUUGACACACACAUGUAACUCAAUAAGAUCUACAAAAAAGUCCAUGCGCGCGUAUCUGUCAAAUGUACAGUUAAAGGGUUAUUCCGCAUUUUUUGCCGAUACGCACACAUUGGAAUUUCGCUAACUCCUCCUAAGGCUUUCGUUCCACCGGCACCACAUUUGCUCAGGCCAAUCUACACCCCAUGGUCAUUAAAAGUUAUUCAAAUCAUGAUGCUGCAUCCCAUGGUUUAGGUUCUAGGGGGCGCCAAAAAUAACCCAAAAAUCCACAUUCUUAAAUGUUUUAUAACUUUUUAUUUUUGUCCUCACUGGCCUCCAAGUUUUCUAGGAUGAUGCAAUGUCCAGCCAUCAACACAUUUGUGAAGGAAUUUUUACUCCCCAAAAGAGCGCCCCCCCAUGGUAGGAGAAAAAAGUCCAUUUUUUCUUGUCCCCUUACAUAAAAAUACACAUUGUUGAGUGUCACGCCUGAACGCUUUGUCAUAUUGACACAAAAAUUGACAAUCAUGUGUAUCUCAAUUAGAUCUACGAAAAAGUCAAAGAGCGCGUAUCUGUAUAAUGUACGGUUAAAGGGCUAUUUUGCAUUUUUUGCCGAUUCGCACACAUUGGAAUGUGGCUAUCUCCUCCUAAGGCUUUCGUCCCACUGAUACCAAAUUUGCUCAGGGCAAUCUACACCCCAUGCCCAUUCAAAGUUGUAAAAAUCAUGACGCUGCACCCCACGGUUUACGUUCUAGGGGGCGCCAAAGAUGACCCAAAAAUCCACAUUCUUAAAAGUCAUUUUGGCCACUGCAGGAGUACAGAGUACUGCAGUUCUAGGGGGCGCCAAAGAUGACCCAAAAAUCCACAUUCUUUAGAGUCUUUUUGGCCACUGCAGGAGUACAGAGUACUGCAGGAUACACACACAUAUACACACACGCCAACAUACACACACACACACACACACACACACACACACACACACACACCCACACUCAGAGUCUGUUUUUUAGCACCUGCAAAAACAUGCUGUUUACAUAUUUGACAAGAAUGCAGAGGCUUCCUUUUGCCCCUGAAAAAAAUCAAAUUUCAAACACAACUUGACUGUUCAUUUCUCCAAAAGACAACCAUGAAGCUCCAUUUCAAACCUGAAGCAGAUAGUUGGUGCAUGUGUACAGUAACCUGAGGGGAGUGAGGUGACUAUUUCUGAGGAGAACAUGAGCAAUGAAGAUUCACCUUGGAGCUAGAACAGGGACGUGCACAUGAUUAUACAGGGGCAGGGGCUCAAGUUUUUUCCAGUCAUUUAUACAAUAUGGAAAUUAAUGUGAAAUUAAACCACAAAUAUGUGUGAUGAACUGUUUUUAAAACUUAAACUUCAAAUAAAAAUUGUAAACUUCAAAACAUAUGCAAAUUUUUAACAAAGAACAUAGUAAUUUACCUCUAUUGACAUCAAAAUGCAGGCAAUGGCCCAGGUGUUCUUUGUAAAAUUAUUUACAAAACACUGUAUAGUCUCACAAAUGUCACUUUUUAUUUAUGCCACUACAAAAAAACAUGAUGUAAAUGAUGCAUGAUGUAAAACAUGAUGUAAAAAACUUGUGUAGAUCCUCCUCUAUGUUAGUCCAUGUGUAAUUUUUCCAUAAUUAUUUGUUUUUUGCAGCAUUUUUGUUUGUGUAACUGCAGAUUGUGCUGACAGUGUCUAUGGCAAAAAAAAAAAAAAAAAAAACUGAAAAUGCCUCAACAUGAACCCCUGGUGGUCUCUGAGGGUGAAACCUGCUAACUGCUGCAGCUCUGUCAGCUUCAGUCUCCCAUGCAGAGCUCGGAGCGCAUGUGUGGCUCUGCACCCUUAGCAGCGUUGCUAACUCCUCAGUAAGGAAAGCCUGCUUCAUGUCAGAGUCUCUAAACUCCAGAAGAAGUCGAUAAAAGUCACUUUCUUUCUAAAAAAAAGUCGUUAGGGGGUCUGAAAAGUCAUUGAAUCUAACAACAAAGUCGCUAGGUUUGCAACUACGUGUCCCAGACUGCAUCCCUGCUGAGAGUCCCUCCCUCCCUUCUCAUAUUGCAGGAAGAACGUAAGUUCCCGCCCCUUGUCAAUCAGUCACCAUAUAAUUUUGGAUUGGUUGUUGUGGUGAAGUUUUCCACCAAUAGGAGAGAUGUUGUGGUGUGUAUUUUUUUUCCUUUGGCAAGCCUUUUCCGCCUGUAAGACCUGUCGCUAAUGUCUGCAUGCUAUGUUUUCCUGUCUCAUACAGCGCGAUCGAGCGCCGAACGUGAUCAAAAUAAGCAGAAAACAAGUAUCGCGGACAUAAUUUAUCAUAACUCUGGUUUUAUUUGGCCUAUCAACACAAUUUAAAAACUGGUAUAUAGGUUGAGGUCCUCACUUUUGAGAUAAAUUGAAACGGAGAGUCAACGAGGCUCCGUCUUGCAGCUACAUCCGGUUAAAUAUGUCAUGUGACUUGAACGCACACACACACACACACACACAGACACACACACACACGCACACACACACACUCAGAGUCUGGUUUGUAGCACCUGCAAAAACAUGCUAUUUACAUAUUUGACAAGAAUGCAGAGGCUCCUUUUGCCCCUGAAAAAAAUCAAAUUUCAAACACAACUUGACUGGUCAUUUCUCCAAAAGACAACCAUGAAGCUCCAUCCAAACCUGAAGCAGGCAGUUGGUGCAUGUGUACAGUAACCUGAGGGGAGUGAGGUGACUGCUUCUGAGGAGAACAUGAGCAGUGAAGAUUUACCUUAGAGCUAGAACAGAGACGUGCACAUGAUUAUACAGGGGCAGGGGCUCAAGUUUUUUCCAGUCGUUUAUACAAUUUGGAAAUUAAUGUGAAAUUAAAAAACAAAGUAUUAAUAGAAAGGUAAUGACUGUCCUGUGUAGGUGACAGUGAUAUCCAAUAGGCUAGGCACUCACGAGGCUGGCUGUGGCAAGUGUAAGUGAAAGCAACACGCACUGGCAGGAAGAACAGCAAACGCCGAUGAAGGAAAAGGGUCUUUGCAGUGAUGGGCGUUACCAAAGAGGGCGAUGGCCAGAGGACACAAAUGGGACGGGGAGGCAGCGCGUUGGGGGGGGGACGCGACACAGCUCGGGCCCGCCAGUGCCCCAACGGGGUCCUAGUUAUUAUUUUUCCUCCCCUUUGAACUGGAAAAUGGCCCACUUCCCACUGGCGAAAACUCAUGAAAUUUGGCAGGACGACCGGGCCUGGUGAAAAAUUUGAUAUUCCGAAGUCGCCCAAACAAGAAAAUGCAAAAUGGCUCCAUAGCGCCCCCUAAGGUGAAAAUUCAAACUAUUGACUGUCACGCCUGUACGCUUUGUCAAAAUGACACAAAAAUUGACACACACAUGUAUCUCAAUAAGAUCUACAAAAAAGUCAGUGCGGGCGUAUCUGUCAAAUGUACGGUUAAAGGGUUAUUUCGCAUUUUUUGCCGAUCCGCACACAUUGGAAUUUCGCUAACUCCUCCGAAGGCUUUCGUUCCACCGGCACCACAUUUGCUCAGGCCAAUCUACACCCCAUGGCCAUUAAAAGUUAUUCAAAUCAUGACGCUGCACCCCACGGUUUAGGUUCUAGGGGGCGCCAAAGAUAACCCUAAGAUCCACAUAUUUAAAAGUCUUAUAACUUUUUAUUUUUGCCCUCACUGGCCUCCAAGUUUUCUAGGAUGAUGCAAUGUCCAGCCAUCAACACAUUUGUGAAGGAAUUUUUACUCCCCAAAAGAGCGCCCCCCCAUGGCAGGAGAAAAAAGUCAAUUUUUUCUUGUCCCCUAAGGUGAAAAUACACAUUGUUGAGUGUAACACCUGUACGCUUUGGCAAAAUGACACAAAAAUUGACACACACAUGUAUCUCAAUAAGAUCUACGAAAAAGUCAAUGCGCGCGUAUCUGUCAAAUGUACGGUUAAAGGGUUAUUCCGCAUUUUUUGCCGAUCCGCACACAUUGGAAUUUCGCUAACUCCUCCGAAGGCUUUCAUUCCACCGGUACCACAUUUGCUCAGGCCAAUCUACACCCCAUGGCCAUUAAAAGUUAUUCAAAUCAUGACGCUGCAUCCCACGGUUUUGGUUCUAGGGGGCGCCAAAGAUAACCCUAAAAUCCACAUAUUUCAAAGUCUUAUAACUUUUUAUUUUUGUCCUCACUGGCCUCCAAGUUUUCUAGGAUGAUGCAAUGUCCAGCCAUCAACACAUUUGUGAAGGAAUUUUUACUCCCCAAAAGAGCGCCCCCCCAUGGCAGGAAAAAAUAGCCAAUUUUUUCUUGUCCCCUAAGGUGAAAAUUCACACUAUUGACUGUCACGCCUGUACGCUUUAUCAUAUUGACACAAAAAUUGACACACAUAUGUAUCUCAAUAAGAUCUACAAAAGAGUCGAUUCGCGCGUAUCUGUCAAAUGUACGGUUAAAGGGCUAUUUUGCAUUUUUUGCCGAUUCGCACACAUUGGAAUGUGGCUAACUCCUCCUAAGGCUUUCGUCCCACUGACACCAAAUUUGCUCAGGCCAAUCUACACCCCAUGGCCAUUCAAAGUUGUAAAAAUCAUGACGCUGCACCCCACGGUUUACGUUCUAGGGGGCGCCAAAGAUGACCCAAAAAUCCACAUUCUUAAAAGUCAUUUUGGCCACUGCAGGAGUACAGAGUACUGCAGUUCUAGGGGGCGCCAAAGAUGACCCAAAAAUCCACAUUCUUAAAAGUCUUUUUGGCCACUGCAGGAGUACAGAGUACUGCAGGAUACACACACAUAUACACACACGCCAACAUACACACACACACACACACACACACACACACACACACACACACACACACACACACACACUCAGAGUCUGGUUUUUAGCACCUGCAAAAACAUGCUGUUUACAUAUUUGACAAGAAUGCAGAGGCUUCCUUUUGCCCCUGAAAAAAAUCAAAUUUCAAACACAACUUGACUGUUCAUUUCUCCAAAAGACAACCAUGAAGCUCCAUUUCAAACCUGAAGCAGAUAGUUGGUGCAUGUGUACAGUAACCUGAGGGGAGUGAGGUGACUAUUUCUGAGGAGAACAUGAGCAGUGAAGAUUCACCUUGGAGCUAGAACAGGGACGUGCACAUGAUUAUACAGGGGCAGGGGCUCAAGUUUUUUCCAGUCAUUUAUACAAAAUGGAAAUUAAUGUGAAAUUAAACCACAAAUAUGUGUGAUGAACUGUUUUUAAAACUUAAACUUCAAAUAAAAAUUGUAAACUUCAAAACAUAUGCAAAUUUUUAACAAAGAACAUAGUAAUUUACCUCUAUUUACAUCAAAAUGCAGGCAAUGGCCCAGGCGUUCUUUGUAAAAUUAUUUACAAAACACUGUAUAGUCUCACAAAUGUCACUUUUUAUUUAUGCCACUACAAAAAAACAUGAUGUAAAUGAUGCAUGAUGUAAAACAUGAUGUAAAAAACUUGUGUAGAUCCUCCUCUAUGUCAGUCCAUGUGUAAUUUUUCCAUAAUUCUUUGUUUUUUUGCAGCAUUUUUGUUAGUGUAACUGCAGAUUGUGCUGACAGUGUCUAUGGCACAAAAAAAAAAAAAAUUAAAAUGCCUCAACAUGAACCCCUGGUGGUCUCUGAGGGUGAAACCUGCUAACUGCUGCAGCUCUGUCAGCUUCAGUCUCCCAUGCAGAGCUCGGAGCGCAUGUGUGGCUCUGCACCCUUAGCAGCGUUGCUAACUCCUCAGUAAGGAAAGCCUGCUUCAUGUCAGAGUCUCUAAACUCCAGAAGAAGUCGAUAAAAGUCCCUUUCUUUCUAAAAAAAAGUCGUUAGGGGGUCUGAAAAGUCAUUGAAUCUAACAACAAAGUCGCUGGUUUGCAACUACGUGUCCCAGACUGCAUCCCU